Elaeis guineensis (African oil palm) is the source of this 4829-nucleotide non-coding RNA. NCBI's taxonomy places the organism in Eukaryota, Viridiplantae, Streptophyta, Magnoliopsida, Arecales, Arecaceae. The record is from RefSeq and is a predicted model, not a curated record.
UAAGCAUUUUGCCGGCUUUAGUUCAAAGCAAAUGUAAUAUCACCGUGAAAGCUCGAUGCAAAGCCUAGCAGAAUAAUAGAAUAGAAUGGAGGAAAACCCCCGAGGGUGGAUCCAUGGCGACGAGACCGCCAAGGCGAUGCUCUCUAGGAUUCUCACGGAGCGCCCCUUCCUCUUCCUCCCUCCCCUCCACCGCGUCCCCCUCCGCGUCGGCAACGUCGUCGAGAUCGCCGGCCCUUCCCCCUCCGCCAAAUCCCAAAUCUUGUUGCACGCCGCCGUCAACUGCAUCCUUCCCGAGGAGUGGAAGGGGAUCCGUUUUGGAGGGUUGGGGCGAAUGGUGAUGUACUUUGAUCUGGAUUGCCGCUUCGAUGUGCUUCGGCUCUCCCAGAUCUUGAAGCAUCGUAUAAUGGAAGCUUACAGAUCAACCAACAAUACCUAUUGGAAAGAAAAGGGAGAACAUCAGAAGAAUGAUGCCCCGACUACACACAUGUACCUAUGUGAUGAUGAAUUAUUCUUAGAUUGCAUGAGACGCUUCUUGUAUAUCCGUUGUUACAACAGCUUUGAAUUUUUGGCUGCUCUCAAGGCAAUGCAUUCUCACUCACAAAGGGAAAGUGAAGCUCUUGGUGUCAGUGUCCAUUUCCUUAUGAUAGACAGCAUUGGUGCUUUUUAUUGGAUGGAUCGAGCUUGUCAACCCAUGCCUAUAGGUGGCAGUAAAAGGAAGAAUGUAUCCCUUCAAAGUUUGGCAGAAGCUGUUGUUCAAGAGAUCUGCAAGCUCUUACAAAUGCAACCUGUGUUGGUUUUAGCUACAAAAGCAACAAUUUUUGGAGCUGGAACCUCAGGAAAUGAUGCACAGAGGUUAGCUCAUGAUGUAAAUUUGCCCAUUUUGAGGUCCACUUCUAGUACUAGGGCAUUUGGAAAAUGGUGUUCAGAGGGGAAAAUGGACUCGAGAACUUCAAGUAGGGAAGGGGAAAAGCUCAUGUACCGUGAAUACAUGCCUUCAUCAUGGCAGUCAUUUGUUACGCACAGGGUACACUUGCAAGCUUUAGAUGAAAUUAUAUCUGGUGGGGAAUAUGGAACACUUCUUACGUAUGCAUCUCAAUGGGUGCAGCCUCCAUUGAAUAUAAAGGAUAAAUUUGCCAUUAGAGAUGACGGUAUCUUCUUGAUAACAUGAAGCUACUUUGUGAGAAUGUGCAACUAAGUUCUAUUAUUUGCUGCUUGACCUCGGAUUUGUACAGAAGAUAUGAUGAUGUGGAGAAAAUCAGAGAGGAUAAUGAUGAUUCCAGUCAUACUGCAUACCACUAUAAACAUGAUGGAAUCAAUAAGAUGAUACCAUUGCUGCUGAAUGUGAGGAUAUAUUCUUUACUCUUGUUCUACCCAUUUUUGUCUUUGUUAACUGGAAGUUAUUUCAUGAUGUUCAAAAACUUGUGGCUGCACCACAGAAACAGGUCAUACAUAUGAACAUUAAGCCUCAACUGCGAAUGUUUAGCCGUGUUGGGUUUGAGAGUUCGGGAUAGCUGCAGGCUUCGUAAUAUGGUCGAGGGCUAAGUUUAUUGAUGGUUAGCAUUGCAGGUUGCCUCUCAAUUCAAGCAUGACAAAGCUGGCAGGCUUUACAGGUCCUCUUUUGACUCAUUUCUUAUUCCUUUUUAAUUUAUCAUCCUUCACCUCAUUUUAGGCAAGUGAUAAUAGCCAAAGAUGCAUUAGCUAGCUUACUUUAAUCCAUUAUAACUUGUAAGACCAUGAUCUAUGAUUUCUAGAAGGAUUAGCAGACUUACAUUUAAAGAGGAAUUUAAUAUGAAAAGAGUAUUCCAAAAAUGUUAAUAAUAACCAAAGCCACAUAGUUUCAAGAAAGGUGUGAUAUGCAAACAGAUUAGGCAUACCACCUUAUAAGUAUGUUUUCUCUUUUGUUGCAGAAGAUAUGCAAACAGGAACUGUUAACAUUUGGAUUCUCUUUCGUUUGGAUAACACCGCUCGCUUGUGAUAUGCAAACAGAUUAGGCACCUGAGAUGGUAGGUUUGUUUAGGGUACAAAAAGAUCCAAGACCUUUUGUUGUUUAUAAACAUAGACCGGCAAACUUAGGUUGAGAUUGUGCCAACCACAACCAAAAAAGUUAGGCAGUAUGGUCUAUGUUGCCCCUAGCUGGUCUUAACACAUCCAAAUUGACUGCAUUUGAGGUGUGACCAUUGAAUUUGGCCUUUCUGAUCUACCUGACAAUUUGGUACAUGGUGUGGUCAACCAAGACACCCUGGCCAUCAUAGAAAGAAAAAUGUUAUCAGUCACUACCAAUUAAGCAUUAUGAAAUUUAUUUGAGUUUGGUGGCUGUGCCAAUCAAAGACUAGAAUUUUUUUUUGUUUGUUUUUUUAAGAGAGAAAAAAGGCCAAAGAAUAUACAGAGAGAUAACCAAUGGGCACCCUCCCUUGAAAUUUCUAUUGCUCUAAAUUCAUCACCUCCGGAUCUUCAAGUUGUAUAAUUGGAUUCCUUAUGCUGGAUCUCCUCAUUUUAUAGACAACCUCUAAAUCCAUCACCCUCGGAUCCUCUAGUUGUAUAAUUGGAUUCUUUAUGCCGGAUCUCCUUAUUUAUUUAUGAGAAAUUCUUUGUGCAUCACCUGCAGAAUAGAACAUUCGACGUGGAGUGCAUCGCUUUCUUCGAUUGGACCAUGUAACCAUUGCUUCUCAAUGUAUAUUUAAUAUUUGUAGGUUGGUAUUUUUGUUUAAAAAUUUUAUGUGACGAAAAUAUCUUUUAUAAUUUUCUGAUAUCUUGUAUGACUUUCUGUCAUAUGAUUUUCUGUGAAUAUAUAUGAUUUCCUGUCAUGUGAUUUCAUGUGAUUUCGUGUGAAUAUAUAUGAUUUUCUGUGAAUAUAUAUAUUUUUUUGUGAAUAUAUAUGACUUUCUGUCAACAUAUAUGACUUUUUGUGAAUAUAUAUAUGUUCAAAAAAAUUAUAUAUAUUUACAGAAAGUCAUAUAUGUUCACAGAAAAUCAUAUAUAUUUACAGAAAGUUAUAUAUGUUCAUAAGAAGUCAUAGAAAAUUAUAUAUAUUCACAGAAAAUUAUAGAAAGUCAUAUACAUUCACAGGAAGUCAUUCAAAGUAUCAAAAAGUUAUAAAGGAUUUUUUAUGAAGAGAUGUCAUAAUUUUAGAUAGGAGUAUUUUUGUUAUAUAAAAUUUUUUAACGAAAAUAUCAAUCUGUAGGUAUUAAAUAUAUGUUGAAAAGUGAUGGUUACGUGGUCCCAUCGAAAAAAUGAUGUAUUUCAUGUUGGAUUUUUUAUACUGCAGGUGGUGCACAAAAAAUUACUCUUUAUUUAUUGAAGGUUGUCAGAAGACAACUUGGGCAUGACGACCAACUCAAAAUAAAAGUAACUAAAGCACCAUUAGAACUAUAGAAGCAAAGGGGCGAGCUAUAAACCCGGUAUUGGGUAAUUGAACGAAUAGCUGUUAUAUAAUUAGAUUGUGCUUGACCUAGAUUCAUAUAUUUUGUUAAAUUGUUAAGAGUUCUAUGGAUUUGUCAUGAGGUGGUACCCAUAUAAAUAUUUAGUAGCGUCACCUGGUGGAUUUGUGUGGUUCAGUUUGAUCCUCGGUGAUAUUUAUGGAGGGAACAUUGGCAGGUGAUGCCGGAAAGCUCGUAAACUUUCCUGAGGCACCAUAAAAACACAAUACUCAGGUGUCUCAGACAGAACAACAAACCAGAAAAGAAAAAAGAGAAUUAUUUAUAAUUUUUUUAUUGAUUAAUAAUUUAAUUAUAGAUGCAAGAUUGGAUAUUUGUAAUAGAAGGGAGAACAUGAACAUCAACUUCUUUUCAUUGCUAGCAUCCCAUGCAUGGGGCUAUGCAUUCACCUCAUUCGCAAGAUAUGCAUUAUUUUCUUGGAGCCACAACAGGCAUUCAUCCUUGAAGAAGGAUUCGCCACUCGAACCUCAUGCAUGAGGAAGCAAGAUAUCCAUUUCAUCAACAAUAUGCAAGCUACUUCUUGCAAUAUGGAGCAAUUUAGACCCUAGAAAAUCUAUAGGAGCCAACAUGUAGAUAUUCUCUUGUUUAUAGUUCAAUUUGGAUUGCUUAGAACAAAAAAGUUAUUUGUUUUGUAAUCAAAAUUGAAAUGAAAAUCGGAAUGACUUGAAAUCGAAAUAGUCAAAUCAUUCAAAGCGUUUGGUUCAUUAUUAGAAUUGGAAUGAAAAUUUAAAUUUAUAAAAGAGAGUAGGGAUUGAAUUCUGUAUAGAUUGAGUCAUUUUCAUUCCAUCCUGAAAUCGAAAUCGGAAUGAGAUUUUUUUCAAUCAAAUGAUUGGAACGAGAGCCAUCCAUUCUGAUUUCAGAUUUUCACUCUUUUCAACCAAACACUUUCAAAAUUUCUAGAGUAGGGCGACCCAUACACUCUUACGGGUAUGGUUGGCCUAGUUGUUGUCUAAUAUUUUUUUAUUUUUUGAAGGGAGCAAAAAUAUUUUAUCCACUAUUUGUCUUUUAUUUAUUAUUGCUCUACGAAGCCUACUUCUAAACGCUUGAUCAAGGUGAUUGUGAUUGAGCGGUUGAGGCAACUGCUUCCAUGACCAGGCACCAAACCCAUCCCAUCAACUCAUUAUUUCGCGAGCGGUAUGCACACUUUUUUCAAGCCAUUAGAAUAGUACAUUUGCGGCGGUCAAUCUUGUGUACAUAAUUUUAAGAUAAACAUUAGGUCAUUUCAUUUUGAAUUUUUCAUGAGGUUUUGUAUGUAUGUUUGUAUGCGCUGGUGCUUAAAACCCAAUUUGACUGGUGGCUAAGCUGAUGAGGAAUAAUGCUCCACUUGAUUGGAUUGAAGAAACAUUGUACUAUAUUGGAGUUGAUCUGCAAUCAAUUAAAAAAAAAAAAAAAAAA